GGUUCGACUCCGGAGAGGGAGCCUGAGAAAUGGCUACCACAUCCAAGGAUGGCAGCAGGCGCGCAAAUUACCCACUCUCAGUACGAGGAGGUAGUGACGAAAAAUAACAAUGCGGGACUCAUCAGAGGCCUCGCAAUUGGAAUGAGCGCACUUUAAAUCGUUCGACGAGGAUCUAUUGGAGGGCAAGUCUGGUGCCAGCAGCCGCGGUAAUUCCAGCUCCAAUAGCGUAUAUUAAAGUUGUUGCAGUUAAAAAGCUCGUAGUUGGAUCUGGGGUUCGGGUCGGCGGUUUGCCGCUUCGGCGGCUACUGCCGUGCUCGACUCUUACUAGCCGGUGCGUCUUGCGGUGCUCUUCAUCGAGUGCCGUAGGAGCCUGGCAUGUUUACUUUGAAAAAAUUAGAGUGCUCAAAGCAGGCGAUUCCGCCUGAAUAGUGUUGCAUGGAAUAAUGGAAUAGGACCUCGGUUCUAUUUUGUUGGUUUUCGGAACUUGAGGUAAUGAUUAAGAGGGACGGUCGGGGGCAUUCGUAUUUCGGUGUUAGAGGUGAAAUUCUUGGAUCGCUGAAAGACGGACAAAUGCGAAAGCAUCUGCCAAGAACGUCUCCAUUAAUCAAGAACGAAAGUCAGAGGUUCGAAGACGAUCAGACACCGUCCUAGUUCUGACCAUAAACGAUGCCAACUAGCGAUCCGCAGUGGUUGCUAUAAACGGACUCUGCGAGCAGCUUCCGGGAAACCAAAGUGUUUGGGUUCCGGGGGAAGUAUGGUUGCAAAGCUGAAACUUAAAGGAAUUGACGGAAGGGCACCACCAGGAGUGGAGCCUGCGGCUUAAUUUGACUCAACACGGGGAAACUCACCCGGUCCGGACACUGUAAGGAUUGACAGAUCGAGAGCUCUUUCUUGAUUCGGUGGAUGGUGGUGCAUGGCCGUUCUUAGUUGGUGGAGUGAUUUGUCUGGUUAAUUCCGAUAACGAACGAGACUCUAGCCUGCUAACUAGUUGCGCCGUGUUCAUACGCGGCUGUAGACUUCUUAGAGGGACAGGUGGCGUUUAGCCACACGAAAUUGAGCAAUAACAGGUCUGUGAUGCCCUUAGAUGUCCGGGGCCGCACGCGCGCUACACUGAAGGAGUCAGCGUGUGCUAUCCGGGCUCGGAAGAGUUCGGUAACCCGUUGAAACUCCUUCGUGCUUGGGAUUGUGGCUUGUAAUUAUCGCGCAUGAACGAGGAAUUCCCAGUAAGUGCAAGUCAUCAGCUUGCGCUGACUACGUCCCUGCCCUUUGUACACACCGCUCGUCGCUACUACCGAUUGAAUGGUUAGCAAGGUACUCGGAUUGGUCUCGAUCUUGUACGAAAGUGCGGGAUCUGUGGCCGAGAAGAAGGCCAAACUUGAUCAUUUAGAGGAAGUAAAAGUCGUAACAAGGUU
This 1412-nucleotide ribosomal RNA is filed under the name metagenome. RNAcentral describes it as "SSU rRNA". It matches the Rfam family "Eukaryotic small subunit ribosomal RNA", at positions 374 to 1801 of the family's 1831-position model. The record is from RNAcentral.